ACGUAGGGGGCAAGCGUUGCUCGGAAUUACUGGGCGUAAAGGGUGUGUAGGUGGCUGAUUAAGUUAAGGAUGAAAUCCCGAGGCUCAACUUCGGAACUGUCCUUGAUACUGGUCAGCUUGAGGCUAGUAAAGGAGAGCGGAAUUCCCGGUGAAGCGGUGUAAUGCGUAGAUAUCGGGAGGAACACCGGAGGCGUAGUCGAUUCUCUUGGCUCAUCCUGACUUUGAGACACGUGAUCGAGGGGAGCAAACGG
Molecule: ribosomal RNA, 251 nt
Filed under: uncultured prokaryote
Description: partial 16S rRNA
Rfam family: Bacterial small subunit ribosomal RNA
Source: RNAcentral